Long non-coding RNA from Amphiprion ocellaris (clown anemonefish), 1524 nucleotides. The record is from Ensembl. NCBI's taxonomy places the organism in Eukaryota, Metazoa, Chordata, Actinopteri, Pomacentridae.
GACCAGGCUGAUCCUGGACCAUCCCACAGAUGCUCAAUCAGAUCUGGAUGUGGGGAGUGUGGAACCCAGAUGUUCAGAGGGAGAUGAUGCCACAUCUGGUCCAGCUGAUGGAAGGUCUUGAAGUUCUCUGACUGGCCUCGACUGAAGAUGGUCGUCUCACUGGAUUUAAGGUUCAGAUGCUCAGUAACAAACUCCACCAAUGUGGCAACAGGGAAGCUUUAGGUUUAUUAAAUGUUGCUAUGAAGGUUUCGCUGUUUUUCUUUGUGAAUGCAAUGUGCUCCAACUGAAACUUGAAUUAGAACUUAGAAGUAAAUCCUUCCAUCUGAAAGGAUUUAGUUGCAUUAAUAACCUCAUAACAUUCUAAUUUUUAUUCCAGUCUUGGUUGAAAAUAGAAUCUUUGUAUUAAUUCAGGUAAAAACUGAACUUCACAGCAUGUUGAAGCAAAACAACCAGAUGAAAACUGUGAUGGUGUUGGAUUGUCAGACCGUAAUGUUGCAGCUCAAAGCAGCUUUUUUUUUUUUAUCUCAGUUCAUUCUGACAUUCAGCUAUGAAUCAACACAGCAGAUGGUGAUCCAUGCUGUGGAAGUGUCACAUCUCCUGAUUUAAUGGAGCUGCUUUGCACUUUUUACACUGUUUAUUCACCAACACUUUAUUUAAUAAAAGUCCCAUCUAGUUUUUAUGAGGAAUGUGAUGUUUUAAUUUCUCUGUGAAUAACUGCAGUCUAAUGCAACAGCUGGAGUUGUAACAUCUGUCCUGAUAUUGAUCAUGAAGUAUUGAUCAGAAUACUUAUGGUCAGCAGUCAUCCCUGAAGUUUUACAUUAAAAUCUUUACUUGUGUUGUGAACUUUGGUAAGAAGCAGAAACGUUAGCGUUGCCAUGGAUACAUCAGUGUUAAAUUCUGUCCAUGUUUCCAUUUUGGUAAAUUCAGUCCAGUUCCAGAAUGUGGAGGAAUUUAGUCUCACAAUCACAGACAACAAAUAUUCGGGUUAUUGUUGUUUAUCAGCACAAUACAAAAAGAUUAAUGUUAGAAAUAUUCCAGUUAAGACCCUAGAAUAUCAUGAUUUAUGGAAAUUUACCUCAAUAAUAUGAAUGUUCAGGUUAAGAUUGUACAGUGAUAUUUAUUAUGUAAGUUUAGCUGAUUAAAGUUUAUGACUCUGCACUAAAAUAUUAUUUAAAUUGACAUCAUUAUUAUAAUAUUUAGGGUCAGACCCUACAGUAUUGAGAUUAAGAAAUCAAAUAUUCUAUAAAAUGUAAAUACACUGAACUCAUUUGGAUAUAUUUAAGUGAGACUGUACAAUAUUAUUUGACACAAAUCUAUCUAAAUCAAAAUUUUAAUCAUUUUCACGCCAAACAUUUACUGGACUGAUUUAAAUAUUAAAAUCACUCCUUUCUAAUCCUCUGCUGUACAUUCAAACCUGAGGCCUUAAAUAGAAACACGCAAGUAUCUGUUAGAAGGAACUUCUGCAGAGUCCUGGUUCCAGAACAUGAUGAUAGAAUUAUAGACAAACUUUAACAAAAGCUGCCU